CGGAAUCAGCGCCCUGCGGAGGCAGCUGGGAAGCGUAGUCACAGGACUCUUGGCUGGGUCUCACAGUUUUCCUACAAUAAAGGGGAAAUCCAGAGGGAAAACUUCUCUAGAUAAAACUUUUGCAGAUGUCACUGAGAGUCUUGGGAUCUUUUUGAAGAAAGGAUGGUGAAGCUUGCCCCACACAUACCACCAAGGAUGUGCUACACAGGAAGAGUUGGAGUGAGGCUAUGGAAAAUACCCACCGGGAGAAGAGGGAGUCCAGCCACAUAGGGCUGGAACAGGGAGUGCCUACCUGAAUGAAGGAGGCCAAGGGACUGUGUCCAGACAGAGGGAGCAUCACCCUAUUGGUCUCCAGGGACCAGAAAUUUCCCCUACCUUUUCACUGGGUUCCUGAACGCCAUGGAGGUCAACCUGGACUCUUCACCAAACAGGGCCACACUUGGAUAGCAAAUUGACAUAGUCAUGUGCUCAAUUCGUCUGGAUCCACUCUCACUUCAUAUUCAAGGGUGGCAGUGUCUGAGCAAAGGAGGGCAAGUGUGGUCUUCAGCAAGGGCAAGAGGAUGGAGGUGCAGAGUCUCGACUCCCGGAGGGAGACUCCCUGCCCCUGCCUUCACUGUGGAAUUACCUUAGGGGCCACCCACCCUGUUCCUCCUCUGCAAAUUAAGGAGCUAGGGUCAAAAAUGAUAUACUUCUAUGCUACGAUGGUCAAUUACCAUCAUGUGUGCUACACAGACUAGUUACCCCUUUGCCCUCACAGUGGCAGCUUUCUGAUGCACAAGACAUCAGCCUCUGAGAACCAGAGACACUAGCAGGCUAAGCUGACCUGGGUUUGUAGGUACUGAACGCUCCCUGGAAAAAUGAAAACAUAGAGGCACUUUUCUCCUGGCUGUUUAUUACAGAACAGAAAAAAAAACACACCGGCUUGAAAUAGAUGCCAGAUUUUGAUGUAGAGGCAAAAUACGAGGUGGCAAUUAAAAUGUGGUUACACAAAAUCUGGACACUGAGAAAAGUUAACAGGACAGUGGGUGUAGAUUUUUUUUAUAACAGACACUCAAAUAUACAUGACAAUAAUUGCAAAUAGAAACCAUCAAAGACAAACUCCAAAUCAACUAUUAAUGUUUUUAGACUCUUCACCUCAAACCACAGAGCCUUACACCAAAACGAAUGCUGAAGGACUUGAAAGCAGACUUGAAAGCAGGACCGGCUCACCUUCACCCUGGGAUGGUGCCCUGAAGCUGCACGAAGUGGGGACUUUCUUUGAGGUCUGAAUGACAGAAGGAGGGGAAUGUUCUAGUGCCUCAAGGUGGACAGCUUGAACAGCGUUCAGCUUUCUCUGCACCUCUCCCAAAUCUAAAGGACAUCUAUCUUCCCUGCAGUAUCUCAGGGGGCACUUAACAAUAAAAUAGCUUCAGCUAUAGAUGCUUAUUAGGAAAGAACUAGCAGGAACAGAAAAGUCUACAAUGAGGUUAACAGUCACACCAGGCAAGUGACAGAAUUUUUAGUGAAAAUGGAAAUCAGUGACCAAGUGGUUUUCUAUUCAGCAUUUGUCAGUUUGUACAACACCCAUUGGUCACAUCCACAUCUCUCAUUGCAUCAGAACCACAGCAUCAAAACCAUAGCGACUCAGUCACCUGGCUUAACAAGGUGUCACUGGAGUGGACAACACUGUCUGCAUAUUUGUAUAAAAUGUAUAGUAAACACAAAACAAGGCAUAAUAAACACAUCU
This is a long non-coding RNA of Sciurus carolinensis (gray squirrel), 1726 nucleotides long. RefSeq lists it as uncharacterized. The record is from RefSeq and is a predicted model, not a curated record. The transcript is spliced from 3 exons. NCBI's taxonomy places the organism in Eukaryota, Metazoa, Chordata, Mammalia, Rodentia, Sciuridae.